AAGGAUGAAGUAAUGUUUCACUUACAAUGAAAAAUACCGUUUGGCACCCUUA
RNAcentral lists this transfer RNA (52 nucleotides) under Gammarus roeselii. RNAcentral's name for it is "tRNA-Val". The record is from RNAcentral. Lineage: Eukaryota; Metazoa; Arthropoda; Malacostraca; Amphipoda; Gammaridae.